This 229-nucleotide long non-coding RNA is filed under the name Oryza brachyantha (malo sina). RNAcentral's name for it is "long non-coding RNA (OBRA_LNC000074)". Lineage: Eukaryota; Viridiplantae; Streptophyta; Magnoliopsida; Poales; Poaceae. The record is from RNAcentral.
CCCACACUUCAUUGUCGCGGGCGGAGCGGCUCCCCCCGAUUUAUCCCCCCGACGGCCACGCACGCCACCACCUCUUCCAGUCCCGCCGCCGCAGCCUCCACUCCUAGAUCCAAAUUCCAAAUCCGAGCUCCGAUUCGCACGCGCCGAUGAAUUUCUUCAGCUCCGUCUUCUCCGCCGCCGCCGGCGAGCGUGAGGGAGAGCGGGGAGAGGAGGGCGGGGAGGAAGCGGC